UUGGGAGGAGGAGGAGGGAGGAGGUGUAAGGGGAUCUCCCUGUGACCACCCGCAUCCCGUGUGUGCUGUUGCGCCCCAACCCCUUCCAGCCAAAAUUCCAUCUCAAAGCCAACGCUGCCAGAGUCACCCAAAUCAGUACGACUAGAGAAAUGCAGACCCGGCGAUCCACUGUGCUUGCCGAAGCAUCGGCCCGCGCCUUCGUGGCGAGGAGAUGAUCUACAGUUUCUCUGUAGCACUCUGGGUCCCUCUGAGCACUAGGACAGUCCUGGGCUGGACAAUGGAACCGCACUGUCAAAGGAAAGUGCCUAGAAGCAAGCUACUGUGCUGAUUCCCCCCUCCCCCGCAUUCUCUUGCAAGGGUACAUCAUGGUAGGAAGUCAGUUCCCUUAAAGAAGAUGACUUGAUAGAGAUACCCCACGACCAGCCGACUGCUUUUGUCUUGUGGGCCUUCGUGCGUCCAUUUCCUUCUAAUGACUCGGAUGAUUACUUCCGACUAGUAGGUAUUGAGUCAGAUGUCCAGAUUUUGUGCCGUUAGGAGGUGAACCAAGUGGAUAUGUUCUCUAAGUGCAGCCGAACUGAGCAAGCAAGGGUCACCCAAAGGUCACCCAAGGGUCACCAAGGCAUAAAGCAACAGGAGCCACCUAGACUUACAAAUUCAUGCCAGUCCCUUAGCAAGAACACCAGCCAGGAAGCACAGCCUAGCGUGACCAAAGGACCGCCCCCUCCCCACUGGGGGAGUCAAGCCUAGUGAUUAGCCCAGCUGUGCAUCCUGAAGGGCUGCUGUUGAAGCUCCGCCUGGUGGCCGCUGAAUAUUUGAAUUCCUUCUAAGAGUCUUGCUUAUUGGAGCCCUCACGCAGGUAAAAUUGCAGGGCCAAGAGGUGGCUGGUACACUUCAUGGGAUUCUUUUUUUCUUCACAUACACACCUUCCCUUUAGUUCAUCCCCCUGAGCUCGAAGCUCUCAGGAUUCCAGUCCCCUCUCUAGGUUUGGUAGCUGCCAAUGGCUCCAAUGUGCCUUCGUUUUGUGCUUCUUCAGCACAGGACCUGGCUUAGGGACUAGUAGGUUGGGUUUGGGAUCAGAGCACCUGGGUUAAAUCAUGCCCAUCGAGGCCCAGUCAGGUGAUCUAAGGCCUGCAUGGCCUUUCUGUGUUCAGGUGCCUCGUGCAGAAGACUGAUGCUGUCUGCUUCAUUCUGUGGCUAUUCAGGAAAUGUGUACCGAGAGUCUACAAGACACCUGCAGUUUGAAGCUCCCAUUCAGAUCCCGGGGCACAUCUGUGCACUCUGCUGGCCGUUGGAAGGGCAAAUAGUGAACAGACCUGUGGUCUUUGGAGCCACGGGAAUCCAAAUCAGAGCAGCAGCUUCAAGGCAGCAGGGCUGGGCGGGGCCCAGCAUCGCUUCUAAGCUGUACUGAAGUCAGGUGGGUCAGACAUGCUAGCAAAAGUGGUCUUUGAAAUGAAGGAGUUUAGGUGAUCCGGCCCUGAGGCAGCACUAGAAGCCACAGAAAGGCACCACAUUCUGUAACAGCCAGGGUUCUGUCGGAAGUUGUGGGUGAAGUACCGAUGACACUUGUAAACCCUGUUGUCACAAUGAUUCCCCGCCCCACCCUCAUUGAUCAGACAGAAUGGCGGCCAUAAAGUGAGCAGGACUUUUAUUCUUGCCAAGAAUGGGGGAGGCAGACUUGAAAGGCAACGUCUCAACCUUGGGCGUGAGGGGAUUGUAGCUAUGGAAUAACUGAGGGGAGCGUGCCUUGGUGCAGGCCUAUAGUUCCAGCACCGAGACUGAGGCAGGAAGUCAGAGAGCUCCAGGCCAGCCUGGGCUGUGCUUCAUGUCUAGUAGCAGGACAGCCUAGGCUACAGACUCUCACCUCAAGGGGGAAAAUCUAAGGAAGUUGGGGGCAUCAACUAACAAAAUAGGAAUAUUACUUUUUUCCUCUGUGGCUUCUGGAAAUUUUCCAGAAAAUCAGAUGUCCCUUUUUAUUCCUUUUAUGACUCUUGGCAAUUAUUAACUGUCAGGAGAUAGGAGGUAUUGUGUAGCAUGUGGAUGGUUAAAGAUUCAUGGCAUCUUAAGUUAGUUUAGAUCUAGCCAGUUUGAACUGGCCCCCCAGAAAAGAUACUUUGGCCUUUGGAUACUUUUGACCAGUUCUUCUCUGAAAGGGUUAGCGAGAGAAAGAAGUUUAGCCAGGUCACUGAGGUAGAACUUGAGGUGACUGACACAGCAGAACCUUCUACAAGCAGGUAGAAGGCCGCAGGGUGGUGUAGGGCACAGCUUUUUUUUUUUUUUUUUUUUUUUUUUGGUUCUUUUUUUGGAGCUGGGGAUUGAACCCAGGGCCUUGCGAUUCCUAGGCAAGUGCUCUACCACUGAGCUAAAUCCCCAACCCCUGGGCACAGCUUUAAACCCGGCAGGGGCAGGCGAAUCUGUGUGAGUUCAAGGCAGCUGGUCUACAGAGCGAGUUCUAAGACAACCAAAACUGUAAGAGGAGGAGGAGGAGGAGGAGGAGGAGGAGGAGGAGGAGGAGGAGGAAGAAGGGGAAGAGGAGGAAGAGGAAGAGGAGGGGGAGGAGGAGGAGGAGGAAGGUGGUAGGGGAGCAAAAUAAUAAAUGCCAUCAGGGACUGGGGAACAGUAGAAGGAAGUUGAGAAAAAUUAGGAGAUCAAUUCCAGGGGAGACAAACAAGGUUAGUGGAAGCAGAUACAAUCAAAAUACUUUAUAUACAUGUGUGACAAUGACAAUGCCAUUAUUAUAACUGAUACAUGUUAAUAAAGCAUUAUAUAUGCUGCUAAUAUAUGAUCAUCAAGUGACAGGUGCCUUAAUGACAAAUAGGAAAAAAAAAACCCAAGAAGACUGAGCUUGAGCUUGCCUGCUUCGCCAGACUGAACAAUGUUAGCCCAACCCAAGGCAGGUCACUUUCUUUUUCCCCCAAACAUACCAAUUACACAGGUUAAAUGCUGGUCAUAGUGUUGAGCCCUGUAAUCCCUGUACUUUGGAGGCUGAAGCAGGGAGGACCGGGCUUUAAAGAUAGCCUAGGGUUUCAGUGAGACUCUGUCUGAGGAAAAGAAGGGAGGGUGGCUAAGGAUGUAGCCCCAUUGGUACAGGGUUUGUCAGUGUUCACCAAGCCCUAGAUUUACCUUCCAGCAUGGCAUAAAACCAGGAAUGGUGAUGCAUGCCUGUAAUCUCAGCGCUUUGGAACUGGGCCCAGGAGGAUCAGGAGUUGGAGGUCGUGUUCUCCUGUAUAGUGAGGAGUUUGGGGUCAGCUUGAAUGACAUGAUACCCGGUCUGAAGGCAUGUCUUGAGAAAUCGUGUAUAUACCCACCUCCCCACACCCUUCCCAGUCCCCAGGAAGCUCUAGCUUACUUACAGAUUGACUUAUUUUAAGCAUUCAGUAUUGUCUUGAGACAGGGUCUCUCUGUGUAGCCCUGACUGGCCCAGAAGUCACAAAUCUGCCUGCUUCUGCCUCCUUAGCACUGUGGUUAGAAGCGUGUGCCACCACCACACCUGGCUCUUAGUUACUUUCCAAAGUUUUUUUUUUUUUUCUCUUUUCUUUUUUCCAGAGCUGGGGACCAAACCCAGGGCCUUGCGCUUGGUUUCUUUCCUUUCUUUCUUUCUUUCUUUUCUUUUCUUUUCUUUUUUUUUUUUUUUUUUUUUUUUUUUUUUUUUUUUGGAGCUGGGGACCGAACCCAGGGCCUUGCCCUUGCUAGGCAAGCGCUCUACCGCUGAACUAAAUCCCCAACCCUGCUUUUCAAAGUUUUAUUGCAUUUAUUUAUAUAUGCAGCAUGGGUGGAUAUGCGUGCCCAGUCACACUUUGGAGGUCAGAAAACAGGGAUCAGAUCACUCUCUCCACCCUGUGGGUCCUGGGGAUUGAACUCAGGUCCUCAGGCUUGCUAAACAGUGCCUUUGCCACAGCCAACUCAGCAGGUCAGUUUUUUUUUAACCUGGGAGAGAACACGUGUUGGACCUUUGUCUUUCUGUGCUACCAUUUCCCUUAACUUGAUGCCUCUCCCUUUGGCUAGAAGUGAAGAACUUCCUUACUGAUGCCUGAAUGAAAUUCCGUUUUGUAUAUAAAUACUGUAUUUUCUCUAUACAUUCGCCUGUGGGUGGCUCAUAAGCUGACUCCACAUCUUAACAGUAGUAAACGUGGAAGACGGGAACCUCUGCUCUCUCUCAGAUGCUGCCUGAUGACAUUUUAGCCUUUGAGUUGUUGGGAGGGAGUGGUCUGUUGGUACCUCCUGGAAGAUUUCUUGUGAUCCUCUUGAGGAUGCUAGGUCAGACACUGAAGUGGCCUGCUAAGGGGCUAAAGAUAGCCUAGGAUAAUUUGGCUUUGGAUCUGUAACAUUCCAACUCUGCACAGCAAUCAGAGAAGUUUUAAAUGAGUCUGUCAGCAUGGUUGAAUCUUCAAAACAGGUGUGGCUUCCUGUCCCUUCCCCACCCUCUUUCUAGGAACUUCUGUUCUACUCCAUUGGGUCGGGGAGGUAAGAGUUUGCUGAUGACUAAUUGCUGGGAGCACUGAGAACCAGGUUGUUAAUCAUACAGGGCUGUCUCCUCAAUGGAGGAGAUAAAACCAAAGCCCUGCAUUCCAUGCAGAAGUCUGAGAGUGCCUUUUGUUAAUGACCUGGUGAGCUUUGGCUAUCCGAGGCUGACCUCACCCAAAUUCCCCAGAAUGAUUAUCCCAGGCUCUUCCUCCCCUAGACCUGUUACCUAUCCUUAGGGGAGAUGUCGCAGUACUUUAUGGCCUACUGACCUCUAUGCUAAAGGUCAGAACCCAUACUACAUUCUAGGCCUUUUAGCUAUAGAACCCACCCUCCUGGCUACGUGUAUUUUGUGAAAGAGUUUCUAAGUAAUUGUGGUUCCUACUCUGCUCCCACCCACUUAACAGCAUGAUAACCUUCCAUCAGGCCAGGGGCCUAAGAGGGAAAAGGGGUCAAGAAUGGCAGGAGGAUGGGCCGGGAGAGGUGAGGUGGUGGGGGUAUGAUGAAGACCUCAGGCCGUGGGUGAACACGGAGAAACAGAGUUGAUUAAGCAGAAUGCUUCUUCAGGAAGUGUUUGCUUCUUAAUUGGGGGAACAAAGGCUACUUAAAUCUUUGAUGAGUAGGUGGAGGCUUGACGGGUGAUGUAUAAGGAGGAAUUCCAAGUGCUGCUGGACAUGACCUUAUAAGGGGAAAGGAAGUUUAACCUGGCUACUGGCUAUGUGACCUCCUCUGGCGGGGCAAAGGUGGGGACACAGGUCUACGUGCAGUUCCAGCACAUCAAGGGUGGCCAUGCUACUACUACUGCUGACCUCAGGAUGAGAUUUCCUGGGUCUAGAUAGGCCUCCAUCCCAGUCUUGAUCCAGGCUUGCUCCCCACGGCUCCCCUGACCGCACGUGUAGUUACAUCUUAAGCUUCAUUGUGCAGCUGGAUUGGACCGAGUGUUUCCUGGAAAUCUCCUUCCAAAUUGUUCUGUGGUUUUUUUUUUUUUUUUUUUUUUCGGAGCUGGGGACCGAACCCAGGGCCUUGUGCUUCCUAGGUAAGCGCUCUACCACUGAGCUAAAUCCCCAGCCCCUCGUUCUGUGUUUUAACUAUGCUGACAGCAAUCCAGCCACCUAGCAUUAACUCCCUGAAGUCGGUCAGCACUGGGCGUUCAUUCUCAUUUCUGUACAGCUCACCUGGCUGAGACCUGCAGGGACCCCCUCAAUUCAUGCGGAGGAAAUCUAGACAAUGAACCCCGACAUAGAGAUCCAAAAGGAUAACUUAGCCGGGUGGGUGCAGGUGAGAAGGUCCUGGGUUCAGGGGCCUUGUUUGAUAGGCUAGGGUACAGCCCAGUAGCAGAAGGCGUGGUGACCAUUACUAGGAGUGUGUCCUUGUAACUACAUUCAUUUAUCACUGAAUGGUGAUAAAUGGGGACAGAGCCACCAUUCUUUUUUUUUUUUUUUAAGAUUUAUUUAUUUCAUGUAUGAGUACACCGUGACUAUCUUUAGACACACUAGAAAAGGGCAUUGGUUCAUAUUACAGAUGGUUGCGAGCCACCAUGUGGUUGCUGGGAAUUGAACUCAGGAACUUGGGAAGAAUGGUCAGUGCCCCUAACCACUGAGCAAUCUCUCCAGUGACCCCCAGAGCCACAGUUCUAUUCCAUUCCUGCAGCCUGAAGGGUUCUCUUUCCCUUUAUUGACCUCCACUCAGACCAAAGAGGUUAGUAGCCUCAAUAAAAAGAUAUUUUAAUACAAGUUUAUUAUUUUAUGUGUAUGAGUGUUUUACCUGCAUGUACUUAUCAUGUGUGCGCAGUGUCUAUAGAGGCCACAAGAGGGUGUCAGAUUCCUUGGCAUUAGAAUUACACAGUAAAGCAAGGGUGGGUACUUGGAAUUGGAGUUGGGUCCUCUGGAAGAGCAGCGUGUGCCUUUUAACCUUCUCUGAAUGUGCAAUCUCUCCAGGUCUCUUUCCUGUUUUGAGAUAGGGUUUCACUCUGUAGCCUUGGCAGGCCUGGGACUCACUAUGUAGACCAAGCUGGUCUCGAUCUCACAAUUGAGGUCUGGCUGCCUCUGCUUCCCGAGUUCUGGGACUAAAGUUGUGCACCACUACACCUGGCUUCAAUGUAUACCUUAAACCAAUGGGAUUAUUAGGAAGAAACAUGAAAAAGCUGGCAGUGGUGGUGCACACCUUCAACCCCAGCACUCAGUGAGGCAGGCAGAUCUCUUAAGUUAUAGGCCAGCAUGGUCUACAGAGCAAGUUUCAGGACAGCCAUGUUUGUACAGAGAAACCAUGUCUCAAGCAUGGGGGUCGGGGGAGUAAAGAAAAAUAAAAAUUUGGAAAACAUUCAAAAAAACAAAGCUGCAAAGAUGAGUUUAUGAGGGUUAUUUUGAUUUAAGAAAAGGGUUGGGCUAGUAACUUGAGGUUAAAUAUCAUUUUGGUCUCAAAUAAGCAUUUGCUUCCUGUCUAACAAGCUGUCCCUUGGAAGACACACACCCUCUCUGGAAGCAGUUUUGGCAUUCUCAGCAGCUCCCGAAGUUUCCCAGCAGGCAGCAGUCCAGACCUUCUUCAUUCUCUCACAUGCUUUCAUCAUUUUUACUUGUUUGGUUAUGUUUUUGAGACAGGAUUUCUCUGUGUAGCCCUAGCUGUCCUGGAACUCACUCUGUAGACCAGGCUGGCCUGGAACUGGAGAUCUGCCUACCUCUGCUGGGGUUAAAGUGUGCACCACCACACCUGGCUACCUCCAUCCCUUUUCUUCUUUCCUUGUGCCUGGUAGGAGCUCAAGAGCUCCCAGUCUGUUGAGUCAGGCAUCCAGAAGUUAGGAAGCUUUAAGAAACUUACAAAGUGGGGGCUGGAGAGAUGGCUCAGCGGUUAAGAGCACCCGACUGCUCUUCCAGAGGUCAUGAGUUCAAUUCCCAGCAACCACAUGGUGGCUCACAACCAUCUGUAAAGAGAUCUGAUGCCCUCUUCUGGUGUAUCUGAAGACAGCUACAGUGUACUUAUAUAUAAUAAAUAAAUAAAUCUUAAAAAAAAAAAGAAACUUACAAAGCAGGAAAUGGUGUGUGUGUGUGUGGGGGGGGGUCACCUCUGUCCUGUUUGCUGUUUAGAGAUUUGCUUAAGAGAAGUGGAGCUAGCUGGAAGUGGGUGGUCUCUGGCUGUCCCACUUAGUAACUGGGGCUGUCAGGAAGGCCAGGGACCCCUUGAU
Molecule: non-coding RNA, 7636 nt
Organism: Rattus norvegicus (Norway rat)
Lineage: Eukaryota; Metazoa; Chordata; Mammalia; Rodentia; Muridae
Source: RefSeq, a predicted model, not a curated record